GAUGAACGCUGACAGAAUGCUUAACACAUGCAAGUCAACUUGAACUUCGGUUUGGGUGGCGGACGGGUGAGUAACGCGUAAAGAACUUGCCUCACAGAUAGGGACAACAUUUGGAAACGAAUGCUAAUACCUGAUAUUAUGAUUUUAGGGCAUCCUAGAAUUAUGAAAGCUAUAUGCGCUGUGAGAGAGCUUUGCGUCCCAUUAGCUAGUUGGAGAGGUAACGGCUCACCAAGGCGAUGAUGGGUAGCCGGCCUGAGAGGGUGAUCGGCCACAAGGGGACUGAGACACGGCCCUUACUCCUACGGGAGGCAGCAGUGGGGAAUAUUGGACAAUGGACCAAGAGUCUGAUCCAGCAAUUCUGUGUGCACGAUGAAGUUUUUCGGAAUGUAAAGUGCUUUCAGUUGGGAAGAAAAAAAUGACGGUACCAACAGAAGAAGUGACGGCUAAAUACGUGCCAGCAGCCGCGGUAAUACGUAUGUCACAAGCGUUAUCCGGAUUUAUUGGGCGUAAAGCGCGUCUAGGUGGUUAUAUAAGUCUGAUGUGAAAAUGCAGGGCUCAACUCUGUAUUGCGUUGGAAACUGUGUAACUAGAGUACUGGAGAGGUAAGCGGAACUACAAGUGUAGAGGCGAAAUUCGUAGAUAUUUGUAGGAAUGCCGAUGGGGAAGCCAGCUUACUGGACAGAUACUGACGCUGAAGCGCGAAAGCGUGGGUAGCAAACAGG
This 722-nucleotide ribosomal RNA is filed under the name uncultured Fusobacterium sp. RNAcentral's name for it is "bacterial SSU rRNA". It matches the Rfam family "Bacterial small subunit ribosomal RNA", at positions 28 to 776 of the family's 1533-position model. Lineage: Bacteria; Fusobacteriati; Fusobacteriota; Fusobacteriia; Fusobacteriales; Fusobacteriaceae. The record is from RNAcentral.